UACGUAGGUGGCAAGCGUUGUCCGGAUUUAUUGGGUUUAAAGGGUGCGUAGGUGGUCUAUUAAGUCAGUGCUGAAAUAUCCCGGCUUAACCGGGAGGGUGGCAUUGAUACUGAUGGACUUGAGUGGAGUUGAGGUAGGCGGAAUUGACGGUGUAGCGGUGAAAUGCUUAGAUAUGACAUAGAACACCAAUUGCGAAGGCAGCUUACUACAGGAAUAUUGACACUGAUGCACGAAAGCGUGGGGAUCAAACAGG
This 253-nucleotide ribosomal RNA is filed under the name uncultured bacterium. RNAcentral's name for it is "partial 16S ribosomal RNA". It matches the Rfam family "Bacterial small subunit ribosomal RNA", at positions 524 to 776 of the family's 1533-position model. The record is from RNAcentral.